UAGAGUGAGGCAGCCAGAAACCCCAGAGAUCAACGCUAAAGAUGAGAAGCACCUCCUGGGAGCGGCCAGGGCCAGCCCCGAGUUAAAUCAACACUCGGCUGUUUGGCUCCGAACCUCCACUCCCCAGUCUCUCGCCUAGUCUAGCUUCCUGCCAAGUUGUCUGGUGCCUUCCUGCUGAUCCCAGCUGUUUCUUCCUCGAGACAGCCUGGCAACCGUUCAAGGCUCUGAUUCUUGUCGUCUGAAGGCCACCAGCGUCCCCCCUUCUCCCGGGGCCGCGGAAGGGGACGGACGGGAGAGCGUAUCCUGAUAAAGGCAGAUUGGGGUGGAAGUGAACGCUUUAGGCAUGUCUUCCAAAUUCACUUCGAGGUACAGAAGAGUGUAACCCAACAGGAAGGCAAUAUGGCACAGCCACCUUGGAAGAUACCAGAGCAGUUUCUUGCAAAACUAAACAUACUCUCACCACAUGAAACAGCAGCGUCGUGCUCCUUGGAGCUGAAAACAUACCCCCACACACGGACCUGCGUGUGGGUGUUUAAAACACCUUGAUUCACGUUGGCUACAACUUGGCCGCGGCCUGAUGUCCUUCGGCGGGGGAGGGGCAAACGCGCCAUGGUCCACACACACACGAUGGGAUGUUACACGGCGUUUGACAGAAAUGAGCUCUCGAGCCAUGAA
RNAcentral lists this long non-coding RNA (675 nucleotides) under Felis catus (domestic cat). RNAcentral's name for it is "lncRNA (ENSFCAG00000053165.1)". Lineage: Eukaryota; Metazoa; Chordata; Mammalia; Carnivora; Felidae. The record is from RNAcentral.